UACGGAGGGUGCAAGCAUUAAUCGGAUUUAUUGGGCGUAAAGGGCGCGUAGGCGGGGAUAUUAGUCAGAUGUGAAAUCCUGGGGCUCAACCUCAGAACUGCAUUUGAAACUGUAUCUCUAGAGGGUAGGCGGAGAAAACGGAAUUCCACAAGUAGCGGUGAAAUGCGUAGAUAUGUGGAAGAACACCGGUGGCGAAGGCGGUUUUCUAGCUUAUUCCUGACGCUGAAGCGCGAAAGCAAGGGGAUCAAACAGG
Molecule: ribosomal RNA, 253 nt
Filed under: uncultured Parachlamydia sp.
Lineage: Bacteria; Pseudomonadati; Chlamydiota; Chlamydiia; Parachlamydiales; Parachlamydiaceae
Description: partial 16S ribosomal RNA
Rfam family: Bacterial small subunit ribosomal RNA
Source: RNAcentral